AUGCUACGUGCAAUUCAGGAAGCAACCAGAAUGGGCUGCUGCAAGGUCGUCUUGGAGACAGACUCAGUUGUAUUAAAGCAGGCGAUCACAAGCAAUGAUUAUGAUGACUCGACACUGGGCGCUCUAUUUAAAGAAAUGAAACGUAUUAUUCAAUACUCUUUUCAAUGUUGUAAGAUAGAUGUAUGCCCAAGGGCCUGUAAUGUAUCAGCACAUGUGUUAGCUGCGUAUGGUGUGAGUCUGGAGCAGGCAAGCUAUCAAAUUUGGCUUGACCCGCUUCCUGAUUAUGUACAAGACUUGGUUGCUGGGGUUUCUCCAGCUCUCUUGAAUUAA
RNAcentral lists this ribosomal RNA (330 nucleotides) under Triticum aestivum (bread wheat). RNAcentral describes it as "partial small subunit ribosomal RNA". Lineage: Eukaryota; Viridiplantae; Streptophyta; Magnoliopsida; Poales; Poaceae. The record is from RNAcentral.